CGGCGAUGUCGCUCGUGCUGCUAAGCCUGGCCGCGCUGUGCAGGAGCGCCGUACCCCGAGAGCCGACCGUUCAAUGUGGCUCUGAAACUGGGCCAUCUCCAGAGUGGAUGCUACAACAUGAUCUAAUCCCCGGAGACUUGAGGGACCUCCGAGUAGAACUUGUUACAACUAGUGUUGCAACAGGGGACUAUUCAAUUUUGAUGAAUGUAAGCUGGGUACUCCGGGCAGAUGCCAGCAUCCGCUUGUUGAAGGCCACCAAGAUUUGUGUGACGGGCAAAAGCAACUUCCAGUCCUACAGCUGUGUGAGGUGCAAUUACACAGAGGCCUUCCAGACUCAGACCAGACCCUCUGGUGGUAAAUGGACAUUUUCCUACGUCGGCUUCCCUGUAGAGCUGAACACAGUCUAUUUCAUUGGGGCCCAUAAUAUUCCUAAUGCAAAUAUGAAUGAAGAUGGCCCCUCCAUGCCUGUGAAUUUCACCUCACCAGGCUGCCUAGACCACAUAAUGAAAUAUAAAAAAAAGUGUGUCAAGGCCGGAAGCCUGUGGGAUCCGAACAUCACUGCUUGUAAGAAGAAUGAGGAGACAGUAGAAGUGAACUUCACAACCACUCCCCUGGGAAACAGAUACAUGGCUCUUAUCCAACACAGCACUCACAGCACUGUCAUCGGGUUUUCUCAGGUGUUUGAGCCACACCAGAAGAAACAAACGCGAGCUUCAGUGGUGAUUCCAGUGACUGGGGAUAGUGAAGGUGCUAUGGUGCAGGUAAAGUUCAGUGAGCUGCUCUGGGGAGGGAAGGGACAUAGAAGACUGUUCCAUCAUUCAUUGCUUUUAAGGAUGAGUUCUCUCUUGUCAAAUGCACUUCUGCCAGCAGACACCAGUUAAGUGGCGUUCACGGGGGCUCUUUCGCUGCAGCCUCCACCGUGCUGAGGUCAGGAGGCCGACGUGGCAGUUGUGGUCCCUUUUGCUUGUAUUAAUGGCUGCUGACCUUCCAAAGCACUUUUUAUUUUCAUUUUCUGCCACAGACACUCAGGGAUAGCAGUACCAUUUUACUUCCGCAAGCCUUUAACUGCAAGAUGAAGCUGCAAAGGGUUUGAAAUGGGAAGGUUUGAGUUCCAGGCAGCAUAUGAACUCUGGAGAGGGGCUGCCAGUCCUCUCUGGGCCGCAGCGGACCCAGCUGGAACACAGGAAGUUGGAGCAGUAGGUGCUCCUUCACCUCUCAGUAUGUCUCUUUCAACUCUAGUUUUUGAGGUGGGGACACAGGAGGUCCAGUGGGACACAGCCACUCCCCAAAGAGUAAGGAGCUUCCAUGCUUCAUUCCCUGGAAUAAAAAGUGCUCAAACACACCAGAGGGGGCAGGCACCAGCCAGGAUAUGAUGGCUACUACCCUUUUCUGGAGAACCAUAGACUUCCCUUACUACAAGGACUUGCAUGUCCUAAAGCACUGGCUGAAGGAAGCCAAGAGGAUCACUGCUGCUCCUUUUUUCUAGAGGAAAUGUUUGUCUACGUGGUAAGAUAUGACCUAGCCCUUUUAGGUAAGCGAACUGGUAUGUUAGUAACGUGUACAAAGUUUAGGUUCAGACCCCGGGAGUCUUGGGCAUGUGGGUCUUGGGUCACUGGUUUUGACUUUAGGGCUUUGUUACAGAUGUGUGACCAAGGGGAAAAUGUGCAUGACAACACUAGAGGUAGGGGUGAAGCCAGAAAGAAGGGACGUUUUGGCGGAAGUAGGAGUCAUGGUGAGAUUUUGCUCUGAUGCAUGGUGUGAACUAUCUAAGCCUCUUGUUUUUCCUCAGCUGACUCCAUAUUUUCCCACUUGUGGCAGCGAUUGCAUCCGACAUAAAGGAAUAGUUGUGCUCUGCCCACAAACAGGCGUCCCUUUCCCUCUGGAUAACAACAAAAGCAAGCUGGGAGGCUGGCUGCCUCUCCUCCUGCUGUCUCUGCUGGUGGCCACAUGGGUGCUGGUGGCAGGGAUCUAUCUAAUGUGGAGGCACGAAAGGAUCAAGAAGACUUCCUUUUCUACCACCACACUACUGCCCCCCAUUAAGGUUCUUGUGGUUUACCCAUCUGAAAUAUGUUUCCAUCACACAAUUUGUUACUUCACUGAAUUUCUUCAAAACCAUUGCAGAAGUGAGGUCAUCCUUGAAAAGUGGCAGAAAAAGAAAAUAGCAGAGAUGGGUCCAGUGCAGUGGCUUGCCACUCAAAAGAAGGCAGCAGACAAAGUCGUCUUCCUUCUUUCCAAUGACGUCAACAGUGUGUGCGAUGGUACCUGUGGCAAGAGCGAGGGCAGUCCCAGUGAGAACUCUCAAGACCUCUUCCCCCUUGCCUUUAACCUUUUCUGCAGUGAUCUAAGAAGCCAGAUUCAUCUGCACAAAUACGUGGUGGUCUACUUUAGAGAGACUGAUACAAAAGACGAUUAUAAUGCUCUCAGUGUCUGCCCUAAGUACCACCUCAUGAAGGAUGCCACUGCUUUCUGUGCAGAACUUCUCCAUGUCAAGCAGCAGGUGUCAGCAGGAAAAAGAUCACAAGCCUGCCACGAUGGCUGCUGCUCCUUGUAGCCCACCCAUGAGAAGCAAGAGACCUUAAAGGCUUCCUAUCCCACCAAUUACAGGGAAAAAACGUGUGAUGAUCCUGAAGCUUACUAUGCAGCCUAAAAACAGCCUUAGUAAUUAAAACAUUUUAUACCAAUAAAAUUUUCAAAUAUUGCUAACUAAUGUAGCAUUAACUAAAGAUUGGAAACUACAUUUACAACUUCAAAGCUGUUUUAUACAUAGAAAUCAAUUACAGUUUUAAUUGAAAACUAUAACCAUUUUGAUAAUGCAACAAUAAAGUAUCUUC
Molecule: small RNA, 2831 nt
Filed under: Pan troglodytes (chimpanzee)
Lineage: Eukaryota; Metazoa; Chordata; Mammalia; Primates; Hominidae
Description: retained intron
Source: RNAcentral